Molecule: unclassified non-coding RNA, 754 nt
Filed under: Hevea brasiliensis (rubber tree)
Lineage: Eukaryota; Viridiplantae; Streptophyta; Magnoliopsida; Malpighiales; Euphorbiaceae
Source: RNAcentral
ACUAUAUAUAAACUCGAUCUGUCCAACCACAUUCAAAGCCUCAGCCACCCCGUAUAGUGCCAACUGUGGUACAAACCACAUAGAGGACAUGUUUAACACAGCGUUCGGAUCAUCCUCAAACCCUGCGUUGAUUGCCUUAUUGCGUCGUAUGGUUUCUGUUAUAGCUGAAAGUGUCGUACCCACAAUGCCCAGAAAUAAGCCAAUCCCCAUUCUGGAAAAUGGACUUAUCCCAGUCGACAGUCCAGUAUACCUAGACAGUAAAGGAACCACUGCACGAUCGUAAAAAGCCAUCCAGAUUGUCAAAGAAAAAACGGUAAUCAUGCCGAAUGAUCCUGCUGGGAUUUCAAACUGAGGAGUAAUGUGUCUAUCCACGGUCAAUAGUUGAUAUAUCGAAAGUGGCUGACCGAACGACACAAGAAGCAUAAUACAGGUGGACCACAUGGGAAGAACUCUAAGAAAACACUUCAUUAUUUCGACUUGUUCCACAAAGCAGAGACUCCACGGAUCUGAAGCUUUUCCAUCAGGUUUCAACUCCACGUGAGGAUCUUCAAUUAUGCAAGCUCUAUUCAAACACCUGAAGUCAGUGGAUGGUUCGAGGAGCUUUGAUUCAGGUGCUUUAUAGUAGCAGUCGUCAUUAUAAUUCAACUGAACAUUAAUAUGUCUUUUUCUGAAGGCUGCGACUGCUACUUGAAAUAAUCCAGUGAACAAACUCCCUUCAGAUUUUGGUUUUAUAUAAAGAGGAGAUCCAAUUAAA